UAGUGAGUUUGAUCCUGGCUCAGGGUGAACGCUGGCGGCGUGCUUAAGACAUGCAAGUCGAACGGGCUCUUCGGAGCCAGUGGCGCACGGGUGAGUAACACGUAACUGACCUACCCCCAAGUCGCGGAUAACUGGCCGAAAGGUCAGCUAAUACGUGAUGUGAUGCCCCUUUUCUGGAGGGUCAUUAAAGGUUUACUGCUUGGGGAUGGGGUUGCGUUCCAUCAGCUAGUUGGCGGGGUAAAGGCCCACCAAGGCAACGACGGAUAGCCGGCCUGAGAGGGGUGGCCGGCCACAGGGGCACUGAGACACGGGUCCCACUCCACGGGGAGGCAGCAGUUAGGAACUCUUCCACAAUGGGGCGAAAGCCUGAUGGAGCGACGCGCGUGAGGGAUGAAC
Molecule: ribosomal RNA, 396 nt
Filed under: uncultured Deinococcus sp.
Lineage: Bacteria; Thermotogati; Deinococcota; Deinococci; Deinococcales; Deinococcaceae
Description: bacterial SSU rRNA
Rfam family: Bacterial small subunit ribosomal RNA
Source: RNAcentral